UGUGUUCUUCUAGGCUCUCCCAAGAACGACCUAUAUGCAGAAAAUACAAGGAUACUACAUCAGAUGUGUUCUCAACAACUCUCCGAUGUCAACCUGUGCAGGGGUUGAUGGUGGCUGCUGCUCCCACCACUGAUAGACUGCUCUUCAGUCAGCCACGCAGGGUCCACGCAAUGCUGCUGCUGCUGCUGCUGCCACCUGCCCCUCCCUCGCACAGGAUGGCCUUUGGCUAACAGCCCAAAGAGCUCCGGGCUCCCUCCCUGGCUGCACCACCGACCUGCCCAGGGACAUCCCAUGCCAGGCCAACUUGCAGAGCCAAACUGUCUCGCAAUUUCUGUAUGCCUUCAGCUACAAUGGCCUUCAGCUUCAUGGGAAAAUAAAAUAAAAUAACAAAAAGCAAGCAACCAAAA
Carlito syrichta (Philippine tarsier) is the source of this 407-nucleotide long non-coding RNA. RefSeq lists it as uncharacterized. The record is from RefSeq and is a predicted model, not a curated record. NCBI's taxonomy places the organism in Eukaryota, Metazoa, Chordata, Mammalia, Primates, Tarsiidae. The transcript is spliced from 4 exons.